Molecule: ribosomal RNA, 427 nt
Filed under: uncultured bacterium
Lineage: Bacteria
Description: bacterial SSU rRNA
Rfam family: Bacterial small subunit ribosomal RNA
Source: RNAcentral
UGGGGAAUAUUGGACAAUGGGCGCAAGCCUGAUCCAGCAAUGCCGCGUGUGUGAAGGAGGCCUUCGGGUUGUAAAGCACUUUUAUCAGGAGCGAAAUACUACCGAUUAAUACUCGGUGGGGCUGACGGUACCUGAGGAAUACGCACCGGCUAACUUCGUGCCAGCAGCCGCGGGAAUACGAAGGGUGCAAGCGUUAAUCGGAAUUACUGGGCGUAAAGGGUGAGUAGGCGGUUAUUUAAGUCUGCCGUGAAAUCCCCGGGCUCAACCUGGGAAUGGCGGUGGAUACUGGAUAGCUAGAGUGUGUCAGAGGAUGGUGGAAUCCCCGGUGUAGCGGUGAAAUGCGUAGAGAUCGGGAGGAACAUCAGUGGCGAAGGCGGCCAUCUGGGACAACACUGACGCUGAAGCACGAAAGCGUGGGGAGCAAACA